CCAACCGGUCGGAUUGGAUAAUUUCAUAUAUAAUUAAUAAUUUUACCAGGGCUUGACAUGCCGCAAAUCCUCUUGAAAGAGAGGGGUGCCUUCGGGAACGCGGACACAUGUGGUGCAUGGCUGCCGUCAGCUCGUGCCGUAAGGUGUUGGGUUAAGUACCGCAACGAGCACAACCCUCGUGUUUAGUUGCCAACGUUGAGUUUGGAACCCUGAGCAGACUGUCGGUGAUAAGCCGGAGGAAGGUGAGGAUGACGACAAGUCAUCAUGCCCUGGGCGACACACGUGCUACAAUGGCUGGGACAAAGGAUCGCGAUCCCGCGAGGGUGAGCUAACUCCAAAAACCCGUCCUCAGUUCGGAUUGUAGGUUGCAACUCGCCUGCAUGAAGCCGGAAUCGCUAGUAACCGCUGGUCAGCCAUACGGCAUUCGGUCU
Molecule: ribosomal RNA, 431 nt
Organism: Lupinus angustifolius (narrow-leaved blue lupine)
Lineage: Eukaryota; Viridiplantae; Streptophyta; Magnoliopsida; Fabales; Fabaceae
Rfam family: Bacterial small subunit ribosomal RNA
Source: Rfam